This is a non-coding RNA of Podarcis lilfordi (Lilford's wall lizard), 25330 nucleotides long. NCBI's taxonomy places the organism in Eukaryota, Metazoa, Chordata, Lepidosauria, Squamata, Lacertidae. The record is from the annotation of a GenBank genome assembly.
AGAGAUCUGAGCUCAAGACUGGGGGAAAAGGAAAAACUGAGAGAUACCAAAACCAUCAGAUUCACCCAUCGCUAUUUGUAAAGUAUCCCCGUUUCAACUGGGAGGUUGUGGGGCUUUGUAGCCAAGCAGUAAUGGUUUGGGAGAGAGGUUUUUCCUGGAAACCUUUGCCUGGCUGCUGUACGCGUAGGAGGAAAUGGACUGAACAGGUGGGGGAUUCCCCCUCUUCAGGCUCAAGCUAUUUAACUGGCAGAGCAGAGGAAGGCACAGGAUCUCUUUCCUGCCCUUGAUGCAAAGCAUGUUGCUUCCCGUGGGCCUCACUCUGCUCCUCUGCCUGGGCACCGUGAGCGGAUUCCUCCCCAACCACGAAUCAGGGGGCAUCGAUUCGACAGUCUUCACAGAUGCCGACAUCACAGAAGAAGGGGUCUUGCGGGCUGUUGCCCAUUACAUGGAGACGAACCCACUGCCCGGAAGAUCUCCCAUGGCCCCGGGAGAGCUGGAAAACAUGAAAUCGCUGACAGCGACUGAACUGUUCAGGGCCUUUUCCAAAGGUAGGCUUGGAAAACGGGAGUGUGAAGACUAGAUGUCACGGCCCUUGCAGAGGAUUGCUUCUGCGCAGCCUAUUCCUUUUCUAUAUCUCCACUGCUUCUUUUCUUUUUUUAUAAUAUUUUUUAUUAAUUUUAACAUAUAAAUUAUAAAACGUACCACAAAACUUAUCACUUCUACAAUCUUUUUGGGCUUCCAUCAGCACCUCUGAUGAUCCACCGUUUUAACCACUUCUUAGGCAUUUCUUAACUUUAUAUUGCCUUUACAUCUCUUAACAAAUCAUCCUUCUCCAUUUUUACAACACGUCUAAUAAUACUCCUCACAAAACUUCUUGCAACCCUACGAACGUCGCCUGUUCUUCACAAUUACUUUUCAAAUAGUCCAUAAAUUUACUCCAGUCUUCCAUGAAUUUCUGGUCUCGUCGGUUUCGAAUCCUUCCUGUUAGUUUAUCUAAUUCUGCAUAGUCCAUUAACGUCAUCCUCCAUUCUUCAAUCGUCGGUAACUCGUCUUGCUUCCGAGAAGAGCAAGUCUUGAGAGCCAGUGUGGUGUAGUGGUUAAGAGCGGUAGUCUCGUAAUCUGGUGAACCGGGUUCGCUUCCCCGCUCCUCCACAUGCAGCUGCUGGGUGACCUUGGGCCAGUCACACUUCUCUGAAGUCUCUCAGCCCCACUCACCUCACAGAGUGUUUGUUGUGGGGGAGGAAGGGAAAGGAGAAUGUUAGCCGCUUUGAGACUCCUUCGGGUAGUGAUAAAGUGGGAUAUCAAAUCCAAACUCUUCUUUUUCUUCUUGCCUCUUUUCACUUGUUCCCCACCCCGCCAGCUCCUCACCACCCACAUGAAAUUAGGCUGAGGUUCAUGAGCGCCUGGAGGGGACACAGCUUGCCCACCCCAACUUUUGCAUAAGUCGGUGCUGGGGCUGUUUUAAAAAAGCACUUCCAUUUUUUUGUAUGGAUUUCAGGGUUCGAAAACCAGUCAUGCAAUCUGUCCCUGUUUUCUUUUUCUUUAUAUAUAAUUGUUUAUUAAAUUUUCCAUUUUACAAUUUCACAUACUCGUUUUAAAUCCUUAAGAUAUCAGUGGCUUCUCUUCUUCUCUUCCCAUGGUUCGUUUUGCAUAUCAUAAAUCCCUGCAUGUUUUACAAAAACUACACCAUUCAGUAUUCCGUUAUUGCAUCCGUCAAAACUUGUUGACACUGUUGAAUUUAUCUUCAUACUGCCAGCAUUUUCCGCUGUGUACACAACUAUUUCCCAUAUAUUCAAUAAACGUUUUCCAAUAUUCUUUGAACGUAUGUCCUUCUUGUUCUCUUAUUCUAUAUGUUAAGUCUGAGAGUUGUGCUUAUUCUGUCAACUUAAGUUGCCAUUCUUCUCCAAUUCGGACCUCGCUCGUUUUCCAUUUUGGGGCUAACAAAACACGGACUGCAGUUAUAGCAUAAAAAGGGUAAAGGGACCCCUGACCAUUAGGUCCAGUAGUGGCCAGCUCUGGGGUUGUGGCGCUCAUCUCGCUUUAUUGGCCGUGGGAGCCAGUGUACAGCUUCCGGGUCAUGUGGCCACCAUGACUAAGCAGCUUCUGGCGAACCAGAGCAGCACACGGAAACGCCGUUUACCUUCCCGCCGGAGCGGUGCCUAUUUAUCUACUUGCACUUUGACGUGCUUUCAAACUGCUGGGUUGGCAGGAGCAGGGACCGAGCAACAGGAGCUCACCCCGUAGUGGGGAUUCGAACCGCCAACCUUCUGAUCGGCAAGUCCUAGGCUCUGCGGUUUAACCCACAGCGCCACCCGCGUCCCUGCAGUAGUAGCAUACAUACUGGUAAAUAUGGUAAGCUUUUGUGACACCUGUCCCCUUUUUUUCUCGCACAGCUGACGUCUCUCCCAAUCGAUUAGUCAAAGCCAUACAGGAACUCAUCUCUGCAAAUAAUCAAGUGGAGGUCAACUACGCUGAAAACAGUAACUACUUCUUCCACUGUGAAAAGAUUGCCCCAAGUAAGGGGGAGCUGUGCCUUGGGGGAGAGGGGGGUGGAGCUGUGUUUGGGGUGAUGUGGGGAACUGUUCUUGAUUUAAGAGAAACACUGAACUACUUGCUAGCACAGGUGAAAGGUACUUAAUUAGCCAUGCUAUCUACAACAGUCCAUAUUUUUAGAGCUCAUGCUUAGUUUAUCUGUAUAUAUAUAUUUUUUUUUUAUUUUUUUUUUUAUUAUUAUUAUUAUUGUUAUUAUUAUUCCCUGCCCAUCUGCUGGAUUUCACCAGCCACUCUGGGUGGCUUACAACAUAUAGAAAAAAAAUAGUAAAACAUCAAGCAUUAAAAACUUCCCUAUACAGUGGUGCCUCGGGUUACAGAUGCUUCACGUUACAGACGCUUCAGGUUACAGACUCCGCUAACCCAGAAAUAGUACCUCAGGUUAAGAACUUUACCUCAGGAUGAGAACAGAAAUCGUGCUCCGGCACCGCAGCAGCAGCAGCAGUGGGAGGCCCCAUUAGCUAAGGUGGUACCUCAGGUUAAGAACAGUUUCAGGUUAAGAACGGACCUCCAGAACGAAUUAAGUUCUUAACCCGAGGUACCACUGUACAGGGCUGCCUUCAGAUGUCAUCUAAAAGUUGUGUAGUUCUUUAUCUCCUUGACAUCUGACGGGAGGACGUUCCAAAGGGAGGGGGCCACUACCGCGAAGGCCCACUCAGUGUCCGGGUUGAGUGAUGGAGGUGGAGAUGCUUCUUCAGAUUUACCAGGCCACUACUUACAGAAGAUUUGGUUUGCCUAACUCAGGUUAGGAAGCUUCUGGCCCUCCAGAUGUUCUGGAUAUUAUCAUCUCCAGUAACAGCAACAACAAGAAUUUUAUCAUUUAUACCCUGCCCAUCUGGCUGGGUUCCCCCAACCACUCUGGGAGGCUUGUAACACAUAAAAACAAAAAGGUAAAAAGGUAAAGGACCCCUGGACACUUAAAUCCAGUCAAAUGCAACUAUGGGGUUGUGGCGCUCAUCUCACCUUCAGGCCAAGAGAGCCAGUGUUUGUCCGCAGACAGCUUUCUGGGUCAUGUGGCCAGCAUGACUAAAGCGCUUCUGGUGCAACGGGGCACCGUGAUGGAAGCCAGAGCGCAUGGAAACGCCGUUUACCUUCCCGCCGGAGCGGUACCUAUUUAUCUACUUGCACUGGUGUGCUUUCGAACUGCUAGGUUGGCAGGAGCUGGGACAGAGCAACGGGAGCUCACCCUGUCACGGGGAUUCAAACCGCCAACCUUCUCAUCAGCAAGACCAAGAGGCUCAGUGGUUUAGACCACAGCGCCAUGGGAGCUGGAAUCUAACCAUACCUGGAGAAUCCCUAGAGAAAUUCAUUCCAGGGAAGAGUGCAUGGCUUCCAGUUAGGCUUGAGACUUGACAUUUCUCCAGUUUAGAAGUUAAGAAUUCAGAGGAGGAACAGGGAUAUAAAAGGUUCUCCUGUGUUAUCUAUUCCCAGGUAUAACGCAGAUGCGAAACCUGAGGGACUCCAUGCUAAGUAGCUUAAAGGAACCCGUGAGUUCAUCGGAUUUGGAAUCGGCUCGACAAAGUGCUGGACAAGCUCUGCACAUCCUUCAACAAUUCUACAGUAACACCAACUGGCCUGAGCUGGGGAAAGGUGGAACUUACGAUCACCUCUGUAAGUCAAAAUGGAUCUGCAAAACUCUCUCUUGUUUUCAAAGUUAAACAUAAGAAGUACAUCAGUACCUUGGAAGCCAUUCCAGAAGACCGUUUGACUUCCAAAACGUUUGGAAACCAAAGCGCAGCUUCUGAUUGGCUGCAGGAAGUUCCUGCAGCCAAUCGGAAGCUGCAGAAGCCAAGUCAGACAUUUGGCUUCCAACAAAGCGUUCAAAAACCGGAACACUCACUUCCGGGUUUCGAUCGUUCGGGAGCCGAAACGUACGCAUACCAAGGCGUUCGACAACCAAGGUACGACUGUAUUACGUCAAAGAAAUAUAGAAGCAUGCCAUGGUUCAUCCAUUUGCCUUCCAGGUCCCCAAACAAUGCUAUACAUAAUCAGUAUAAGAAAUCCAAUAUCAAGUCAUUUGAAAGGUUUCAUUGCAUCCUAAUAUAAAUAUCUCCAAUUUCGUAUUUUUUAUUAUAUAGAUCAUUUGUUUAAAAAUAAAGAAUUUAUUGCAAUUAUGGUAGAAUUCCUCAUUUUUUGCGUUCUUUUAUGACUUUAUUUGUCCCUGACCGGAUGAGUGAGCUUGAUCAUAUGCAAAACUAGGCAAAUACAUUCAAGAGAGUCAGUGGGGAUCUGCAAGACUGAUCCAAAGCACCUUUUGCAUUUCUUUUUUUAUCUACCUGGUUUUUAAAACGGACAUCCCUUCUUUCCACUCAUGCUCUCAGAUCACCAUAUAGAAUUAUCAUAAACCUGCCCAAGCUGCCGAUUGUCAGGUUUACAUGGAAUUCAACUGAGUCUAAAGCUGUGUACCCGCCAUAUAUUUAAAGCACAUUCCCCCUCUCCAAAGAAUCCUGAGAACUGCAGUUUACUCACCACAGAGCUACAACUCCCAGCGCCCUUGGCAAACUACAGUUCCCAAUAUUCUUUUUUGGGGGGAGACACACAUGUGCUUUGACUGUAUGGUAUGUAAAGGUAAAGGGACCCCUGACCAUUAGGUCCAGUCGUGGCCGACUCUGGGGUUGCGGCGCUCAUCUCGCUUUACUGGCCGAGGGAACCAGCGUACAGCUUCUGGGUCAUGUGGCCAGCAUGACUAAGCCGCUUCUGGCGAACCAGAGCAGUGCACAGAAACGCUGUUUACCUCCCCGCUGGAGUGGUACCUACCGGUAUUUAUCUGCUUGCACUUUGACGUGCUUUUGAACUGCUAGGUGGGCAGGAGCUGGGACCGAGCAACAGGAGCUCACCCCGUCGCGGGGAUUCGAACCGCCGACCUUCUGAUCGGCAAGCCCUAGGCUCUGUGGUUUAACCCACUGCGUCCCCGUAUGGUAUGUACACAGACUAAAAUAGGAUUUUUUUUCUCCCAUUAUGUUUGCCCUACAGUAAACCCAGCCAGUCCUGCUUUCCCCGUUGCUCCUGCUUCUAAGGAAACCUGUCGCGACUGCAGCAAAGAUGCAAGGUAAGAAACCAUGGGCACGCUUGGGUGAUGGUUGAGAGGGAGAAACGGAUGCUUGUUCUAUUGUGGCCAUGCAGGCAGAAAACAACAGAGGAGUGCCACUGAUUUGUGUUGCUCCGUAGCACCUCAGAUUGCCCCUCGCGCAUAAGUUGUGUAAGUGGGGAGCAGCCUUCAAAUGGUAAAUUUAUUUCUAAGCAGCGCAUUUACCAACUUCCACGUUCUCUGUUUAACAGCAACCAGUUUGUGUGCGAUGGAAACAUCCUAGUGAACGACCUGCUCACAAGCGGGUACAAGUUGUCAGCAUCAUGCAGGCGUAAACCAAAAGGUAAGACCAGCGAUUGUCGCUGGGAUUUCCUGUCAGUUGUUGAGCAUUUUCAUUUUCUUUUCAUGCCAUUGAAAAAUGCAUGGAGGAUAGGUGGACACGAGAAAGGCAACUUCUGAGUUCAUUGCAUGUCUGCACCUACCUCCUACAUGCUGACUAAGAGAUAAGGACUUCUCGGUGGUGACUCCCUGGCUAAAGGAGUUUGUUUGCUGCCCAGUCAGCAUGGCCAGUGGUCAAGGCUUGUGUCCAGCAACAACUUCUGGAGAGCCACCGAUUCCCCACCACUGAUGUGAAGACUAAAAUGUCCACCUCAUUCCCAUAACUGAAGCUGAUGACCCUCACAACUGUGUAUCCCUAAAUAAUAAUAAUAAUAGUAACAAUAGUAAUAGUAAUUUAUUAUUUAUACCCCGCCCAUCUGGCUGGGUUUCCCCAGCCACUCUGGGCGGCUUCCAACAAGACACUAAAAUACAAUAACCUAUUAAACAUUAAAAGCUUCCCUAAACAGGGCUGCCUUCAGAUGUCUUCUAAAAGUCUGGUAGCUGUUUUUCUCUUUGACAUCUGGUGGGAGGGCGUUCCACAGGGCAGGCGCUACUACCAAGAAGGCCCUCUGCCUGGUUCCCUGUAACUUGGCUUCUCGCAGCGAGGGAACCGCCAGAAGGCCCUCAGCACUGGACCUCAGUUUCCGGGCAGAAUGAUGGAGGUAGAGACGUUCCUUCAGGUAUACUGGACCGAGGCCAUUUAGGGCUUUAAAGGUCAGCAUCAACACUUUGAAUUGUGCUCGGAAACGUACUGGGAGCCAGUGUAGGUCUUUCAAGACCGGUGUUAUAUGGUCUCGGCGGCAGCUCCCAGUCACCAGUCUAGCUGCCGCAUUCUGGAUUAGUUGUAGUUUCCGGGUCACCUUCAAAGGUAGCCCCACAGAGAGCGCAUUGCAGUAGUCUAAGCGAUAGAUAACCAGAGCAUGCACCACUCUGGCAAAACAGUCUGCGGGCAGGUAGGGUCUCAGCCUGCGUACCAGGUGGAGCUGGUAAACAGCUGCCCGGGACACAGAACUGACCUGCGCCUCCAUGGACAGCUGUGAGUCCAGAAUGACUCCCAGGCUGCGCACCUGGUCCUUCAGGGGCACAGUUACCCCAUUCAGGACCAGGGAGUCCUCCACACCCACCCGCCUCCUGUCCCCCCAAAACAGUACUUCUGUCUUGUCAGGAUUCGACCUCAAUCUGUUAACUUAAAUGAUGCAGCCUAGCAAUUCUUCUCCUCCUCCUCCUCCUCCUCCUUUACAUUUAUAUAUCACCUUUAUUUUCGAAGGAUCUCAAGAUAGUGUACAUGGUUCUCCUCCUCCCCAUUUCAUUCUCACAGCAACCCUGUGAGGUAGACUAGGCUGAGAGACAGUGGCUGGUCCAAGGUCACCCAGUGAGCUUCAUGACUGAGUAAGGAUUCGAACCCUGCUCUCCCAGGUCCCAGUUCAACACUCUAACUAUUACGCUGCACUGGCUCUUAUGAAGAAGAAGAGUUUGGAUUUGAUAUCCUGCUUUAUCACUACCCGAAGGAGUCUCAAAGCAGCUAACAUUCUCCUUUCCCUUCCUCCCCCACAACAAACACUCUGUGAGGUGAGUGGGGCUGAGAGACUUCAGAGAAGUGUGACUGGCCCAAGGUCACCCAGCAGCUGCAUGUGGAGGAGCGGGGAAGCGAACCCGGUUCACCAGAUUACCAGUCCACCGCUCUUAACCACUACACCACACUGGCUCUCACUUAUGUCUCCUUCAUUCUCUUUCCUAUAUUCUUUCUGUAGGCAAAUGUGGACAUGGAGGAAGAAAUGACCCGGCCGAAAUGUUCCCUACCACGGGGGGGAUCAACAAGGAGACAACUGACCCCCGGCUCUCCCCGCACUAUCAGUUGCAUCAACAAGCAGCUGAACUGGCCAUACAAGCCACAAGGGACUUCUUUGUAGGAGAUGGUAUGGUUCAUUGACCUUUCAGCACAGGGAUAAAUAAUACCUUUUUCUUCUUCCAGGCCUUUUAUGACCUUGAUAUAGUUGCAACCCUUGUGGUGGUUUUAGCUCUUGUGAUUUGUUUUGGCUGUGGCUGUCAUUAAAUUAUGGGACUCCCUCCCCACAGAGGUGCAUCACACACCUUCAUCGUAUGGUGUUUGUUGUGCUCUGAAGGCACGCUUGUGACACAUGAUAUAGACAUGGAUCAUUAGACACCACCUUGUUCCUGUAAUUGUUUUAAACUGUUUCUUCGCGUAGCGUUUUGAACUGUUGUGACUUGCCCUGAGACCUUACAGUGAAGGGUGGGAAAUAGAUAAACAAAUAGGCCCAUGGACCGAUUCCUCACCCUGGACCUAUCGCUUUUGUUCUUUUGCCCAUAAAGACCAUGUCACCAUCCACCAUGCCAGUCUGAGACAAGGUAUUGUCCAAUGAAAAUAGGGAGGUCCUAAGGAAAAGUGGAUAAGCAUAACCUGUUUUUACUCCAUUGCUGUUGUUUUUCAGGGUACGGCCUGCUGGACCAGGUGGGCAGUGAUACCUUUAAGAGGUUUUUCAACUUGGAAGGCUAUUCGCUCACCUUUGUAAUAGACACAACUGGCAGCAUGUCGGAGGAUAUCCACCAUGUCAUAACCACCUGCAUCAACCUCCUCCAGGAAUUUUCCAACUCCCCGGAUAAACCCUUUAACUACAUUCUUGUGCCUUUCAACGAUCCAGGUGAGAGGGCAAAAAGGCAGAACUGGUUCUUCCCACGCUAAGUCUGCUUAGUCUGAAAUUGCCUGCCUUCCUUUGCUCUGCUUUUUUUCGGAGAAUCCAAAUAACAUUGUUGCUCACCUGUUCUUUUGUUAAGUGACUUCAAAUGAUAUUUUGGUUAAAUUAAUAUACAGGCAACUCCCCCAUUUGUGUGGGGGUUACGUUCUGGGUCAUCAUGCAUGUCGGUGCAGCGUAAGCCCACCCCACCCCAUUCUGCCCCCUCCCUGCCCCAUUCCAGGACCAUAAAUGGUCACGCAUGCCUUGGUUGCACACAAAAUGGUCAUUCCCAUAAUUCUGUUCCGCUUGGUAUGUAAAAUAAGUGUAAAAUUGCAUAGGAAUAGUUAAAAAUGACUGCCAAGUACUUGCAGUUAUAUAUUAUGUAUUUAUAUUGUUUGUUGUUUGUUGCUGUUGUUAUGUAGCAUUACCUGACAUUUUCAGAAGGCAACAUUAGAAUUCUGUGGUUUCCCCAAAGCAUUUUAUGUCCUUCUUCACUAGACGUACCAUAUUUUUCGCUCUAUAGGACGCACCUUGUUUUAGAGGGGGAGAACAAGAAAAAAAAAAUCUCCCCCUCUCUGCUCAGCGCCCCUUCAGCGAAGCAGCAGGAGAAACGGAGCCCCUUCCAUUUAUCCUCCCACUUUGCUGAAGGGGCGCUGCGCAGCUCUCCCUUUCUGCUGAAGCCAGGAAAGUCUUGCUCUCCUGGCUUCAGCAAAAAGAACCCAAAGCCUCCAAAGCACAGCGGGACCUCGCGCUGCACUCCGGAGGCUUCAGGCAGCUAUCCCUGAAGCCUGGAGAGCGAGAGGGGUCGGUGCGCACCGAUCCCUCUCGCUCUCCAGGCUUCAGCGAAAGCAACGUGAAGCCUCCGGAGCGCAGAGGGAGUGCUCCCUUUGCGCUUCGGAGGCUUCGCGUUGCUAUCGCUGAAGCCAAGGAGCUUGCAUUCGCUCCAAAGGACGCACACACAUUUCCCCUUAAUUUUUGGAGGGGGAAAAGUGCGUCCUAUAGAGCGAAAAAUACGGUACAUUGACCAAGCUAAACAUUGACUAAUCACAAAAAUAAUAUCAGGUUUGAAUUCUUCUCACACACACCCCCCCCAAAAAAACCCGUAUUUUAAGACCCCUCGCUGAAGAAAUUUGCCGAAAGUAAGUUUCACCCCAAAAAAUGACAUACCCUACGUGACCCAGCUUAAGGUAUGUCUCUGCCUGCCAGCUCUCCACUGCAGAUACUCAGUCCCUCUCAUAUCUAUCCCUGCAGAUGUUGGCCCAGUCCAAGUGACUCAGGAUGCGGAUGAGCUUAAGACCUUGAUCUCUAACCUCAGACCUACGGGUGGCGGUGACUGCCCAGAAAUGUCUUUGAGUGGCCUGAAGUUGGCUUUGGAACACAGCUUGCCAAGGUAAUAGACCUGGCCUUUCCCGCCUUAUUCCUAACAUAAAUAUUCCCGUUACCUUCAUUCCUCCAUUCCUAGUACCUUUGCUUGAGUACCUAGAAGUCACUCCACUCAUUCUCCCUUGCGACCUGGAACUUCUUCCCAGGUCAUCUCCUUGUGGUCACCUCUAUUCUUUCAAAUCCCCACCACCACCAGUUAAGCCAUCAAAACUCCAGUCCUCCCCCACCUGCCCCCAACAACAAUGGUGCCCAAGUAUGUAUUGAGUGGCCAUGUUCCAACGAUCAUACCUCCGUUAAAUAAGCUGCGGUAGGAAGGAGCCUCAUGAACAUGCGCACAACCACUUUAUGUGAACCAGAAAAUGAACCAGUUAAUUUCCCAUUAACCUCUAGAACAUAAGAAGAGGUCUACUGGAUCAGACCAGAGGCCGAUCUAGUCCAGCAUCUCACUGCUGGACUAUGGGAAGUCCAGACACAAGACAUGGGCGCAUUAGCCCUUCCUCUGAUCCUGAAUCACUGCUAUCAGCCUCCAAUAGCCUCAGGAAUUUCUCUAAUCUCCUUUGAACACUACCUCUUUGUUGUAGAGAAUUCCAUGGUUUAGCUAUGCACAGCAUGAAGAAGUCCUUCAUGCCCCAACGUUCAGCUUUGUUUGAUGGUCUCUUGUUCUGGUAUCAGGGUGGGACCCCUCCGACGGGUAGAAAAACCGCUCUCUCUAUUCGCUUUGGAACACGCCCUGGUAUUACACCUACUUUGAACUAGGGUUUGAUAUCCUGACUUCUUCAGAAGGCAUUAACCAUCGGUUCGGUCAAAAUGGAAAACUCUAGUUAGCUUCCUGAUUUGUUCUCUUCCUUGCACAAAGGUCCAAGAUCUACACCUUUACUGAUGCUGGAGCCAAAGAUGAGCACCUGAAAGAUGAAGUCCAGGUCCUACUUGAUUCAUCCGGGUCUGAAGUGGAUUAUAUUCUCACAGGGUAUUGCUCUAGCCGGAAACGCAGAAGUAUGUAUAGCUCUUGGCAAGCAAUGAGAAAGAGGGCAUUUUCAUUGGUGGGAGAGUGUUCCACAAAUAGAAGGGUGGGAUCCUUGAGAAAUCAGCAGGCCCACCUCCCGACUUAUGCCAAUAUAAUUCUUCUCUGGUGAUCAUUCGUAGCCAAGUAUGAUGGUCUUCCAUAAACACAGUUUUAACAAUGAGUCCAUAAGUGACUGUGGAGGCCAAUUCUGGAUCCACAUUGGUUUCCAGGUGGGAGUUGAUCACAGUGAGGGUUUGCCAAACGUGCCUUCCUCUUAGCGCAUUUCUCGUCCUGAGUUUGAGUGUCUUCGAAGCCCAUGACACCUUUGGUAAAGACUGUUCUCCAAUUGGAGCGCUCACAGGCCAGUGUUUUUUUAGACAAUUUUUAAGAUUUGCCUCAAGAGAAUCUUUAAACCUCUUUUGUUGACCACCAGCAUUACACUUUCCAUUUUUAAGUUCGGAAUAGAGUAGUUGCUUUGGAACAUGAUCAUCAAGCAUCUGCACAACAUGACCAGUCCAGCGAAGUUGAUGUUGAAGAAUCAUUGCUUCUACACUGGUGAUCUUUGCUUCUUCCAGUACACUGGCGUUAGACAGGCGAACCUUAUAAGCAACUGCUGCCAAAACACCCACUGUGGUUUUCCUUUCCUCCUGUGAACACAGAAGAGGAGGAGGCCAGGUUUUGAGACAAAAACCCAUCCUUUCUCUCCACAGGUGCUGCCGAAGAGGCUUCUGGGAGAAGUUAUGCUAACAUCUAUGAAGAACUAGCUGCUUAUUCCGGAGGCUUCUAUGUGAUGACCACCAAAGGCGAACUCGACCAGGUCUUGGGCAUCAUGGAGCUGUCUCUGAAUGCUGCCCCGGUUACGGUGGCCCAUAAGCAAUUGGAUGGGUCUCAGUGCUCCUUCCCUGUGGAUGAGACCCUCACAGAAAUCACAGUCUCCGUCAAGAGCUUGCACUCUUUGGAUUUCACCAUUACUGUGAGGCAACCUUCAGGUACAGCUUGUUCAGAGAAUGAAGCAGAGAGCUUUCCUGCAAAAGUAUGGUGGGGGGAAUGAAAAUUGUGGAGAGUCUUGUGUGGUUUGCCAUCUCAUCCUCUACACAAAUAAUGGUGAACACUUUUUGGCCUGAGGGCUGUGUUUUGGGCUUUUGGGCUACCGUCCAGGGACCCCACGUCAGCGACAGGCAAAGCAAGAGGAGAGCAUUGGCAGUAAAUGUUACCGUUGUGCAGUUAAGAGAGCUUCUACACACAUUCACAGGCCUACAUCUCUAUCAACCACCCAGGGAAAUGAGGGGCAUGAUCCGAGUUCAAGAACAUUUAGGCAAGAGGGGUGGGUACUCAAGGAAGGCAUAUCCUCCAACAUAUCUCUGAUGAAAAUAGGGACGUCUUAUUCCAUAAUAAUAAUUUUAUUAUUUACACCGGAUUUUAUUUUAUUUUAUUUUAUUUAUUUAUUUUAUUAUACAAUUUUAUUAUAUACACUGGAUUUACCCCAGCCACUCUGGGGGCUGGCGGUGGUCCCACCAGACAGCAGCUGCUCCAGCCCCCAGCAACAACCUGUGACGCUUGCCCUGGACAUCAAGAAAGGGAAUACCUAGGUGCACAAUAGGGAAUUUGAACCUGCGUGCCUCCAGUGCAAGUCUGACACUCUAGCCCAGGCAUCCCCAAACUCUUCCCGCCAGGUGUUUUGGGACUACAAUUCCCACCAUCCCUGACCACUGGUCCUGUUAGUUAGGGAUGAUGGGAGUUGUAGUCCCAAAACAGCUGGAGGGCCGAGUUUGGGGAUGCCUGCUCUAGCCACUCUAGCCACCUGAAUCAUACUGGGAUCUUUAAAUCAAACUGGCUCUUUGGAUUUAAGGGAAACCUGGAAAAAAAAAUUAUUAUCAUUUUGUUAAAAAAAAAAAAGAAAGGAGAGAGAGGAGGAGAACAUAACACUGUAUUUAUUUUUUAAAGAACUCACGUUUGUUUGCUGCAGGGUUUUCUUUUUAUUAAUCAAUUAAUUUUUUAUUAUUUUAUUAUUAACUAAUUAAUAUUUUCUCAAUUUCAUGGGGGGACCCCCCCAAAGCAUAAUACAACAAAUGUAUGUUAAGGGGAAGGUAUGUUGAGCAUAACAACCAGCUGUGGUGCACAUUCACCAGCCCUCAUGGAGAAUGUGCAUACUUCCCAGUCAAAUAUACCGUAUUUUUUGCUCUAUAAGACUCACUUUUUCCCUCCUAAAAAGUAAGGGGAAAUGUGUGUGCGUCUUAUGGAGCGAAUGCAGGCUGCACAGCUAUCCCAGAAGCCAGAACAACAAGAGGGAUUGCUACUUUCACUGCACAGCGAUCCCUCUUGCUGUUCUGGCUUCUGAGAUUCAGAAUAUUUUUUUUCUUGUGGUCUGGUGCAUCUUAUAGAGCGAAAAAUACGGUACAUAGUCUUCAACAGGGCUUGGAGAACUUGCAUUUAUUGAGGGUGUGAAGCAGGGGCAGUAAAGAGUGUGGCCAGAAGAGAGGUUAUUGACCGUGGAGAGGGACAAACAAGGAGGACUGCAUUUGUCCACCGGGCCUGACAUUCCCCACCCCUGCUCUGCCCCUCCUGCAACCUUGUCUGUCUUUGUGUCAUCCUGUGGCAGGUGUCUCGCCAUCCACUCACACAGUGAUCAACACAGCCAGCCACAAGAUUGUGAAGGUGUCCCCCAUCCCUGAGCGGGGCAUGUGGACUGUGACUGUCUCUCCCAGCGGCUCCUACGAGGUGGAAAUCGGAGGCAAGAGCUUGCUAGACAUAUCCUACCAGAUCAUGCAGAAACAGAAAGAGUAUGUGCUUCCGGUCCAGGGAAAACCUGUGAAAGGUAAGUUUGGGGGGAUUUGAAGCAGCCAUACUGAGGGCAGGAGUAUCUGAUGUUGUUGUUUAAGGCUUAAAAAGGGUAAAGGGACCCCUGACGCUUUACCCUUUAUUGGCCAAGGGAGCCGGCGUAUAGCUUCCGGGUCAUGUGGCCAGCAUGACUAAGCCGCUUCUGGCGAACCAGAGCAGCGCAUGGAAACUCCAUUUACCUUCCUGCCAGAGCAGUACCUAUUUAUCUACUUGCACUUUUACGUUCUCUCGAACUGCUAGGUUGGCAGGAGCAGGGACCGAGCAACGGGAGCUCACCCCGUCGCGGGGAUUCGAACCGCCGACCUUCUGAUCGGCAAGUCCUAGGCUCUGUGAUUUAACCCACAGCGCCACCCGCAUCCCUGUUUAAGGCUUACAAAGCACCUAAAGAGUUGUACAGAUAGUAAGGGCCAGAGGCUCUGGCUUCCUCCGCUCUUGAGGGGGGCCGACGUCACGCCAUAUGCCAAUGUAGCAUGCGUAGGGCUGCCGUACGUCCAGGAUUCAGCCCUCGUAAACAGCGUCCGGGUGGAAAUUGCUGAAACGUCCAGGGAAAUCCGGACGUAUGGCAGCUCAGAUCAAUAGUGUAGAUUCUGGCGGUUUUCAUUAAAAAUAGCUCAAGAACUCAACAACUUUGGCCAACGAAAGCUCAACAACUUUUGUGUCUGGAUUUUCACCUUUUGGAAUAUGGCAAUAAUGUGGCAACUCCAAUGGCAACCCAUGUCUAAAGUGUUUAUCCCCCCCGAUUUUCCUCAAAAACUUCAUUUUUUGGGAUGGGUGGGGGAGAUUUUGCAAAACAAGCUCAACAACAUUGGCCCAAAGUUGAAAUAAUAUGGCAACCCUAAGUAUGCACAACGUUACUGCUCGAUAUUGAGGGGGGGCCCAGCCCCGUCCUUAAGAACUUCGGGGGGGGCAGCUGGCAUGCCUGUUAAGGACACUUCCACACCUGUCAUUCGCAGCAUGUUUGCCAUGUCCCAUGCACUCAUUUUUGGGUGUUCAUCUGCAUUACACUGAGCUGUAGUUUAACCCGCUCAUCCCCUCUCCCCCAGUUAUGCAGGUUCCCUGUUUGCAGGCUUAAAGGGAUGGGGAUGGGGGGCAGGUUGGUGUCUCCUUUUGCCAUGAUGUUCUUGCUGGAGCACCCAUGGGAGGUGCUAUCUCCCAGUGAUACUUUCCCCCCCUGAAAAAAAAAAUUCAUUUUAUAACAAAAAUAAACAAUACAAACAGAAAAACUAACAAUGCAAACAAAUUCUUGGCUUAUCCUUAUUUUUUCUAAACAUUGUUAGGUGAGCUUCCCCAAGUCCCCCCUAUCUGAUUUUCAUUUUACCUCAUCUUUAGCAGUUUCAUAUAUCACAAUUUUUAACCAUUUUUUAUCACUUAGUUUUACCAUAAAAAUCUUCACGUUUUAUCACUGACAAAUAAUCCUAUUCUCUUCUACAGCCUAUGUCCACUUCCAAAGCUAUUCUAAGAUUUAAAUAUUAACAUGUUUUUUCAAAUAUUCUUUAAACUUCUUCCAAUCUUCUUCCACCGUCUCUUCUGUCUGGUCUCGGAGUCUCCCAGUCAGUUUGGCAAGUUCCAUAUAGUCCAAAUAUCUCCCAGUGACCCUUGGUCUGGAUGAGCUCAGUGGAGAUACUGAAGUGAUAGGUGCGGAUUCCCAAGGAUGUUCUUCUGAGUUCCUGCAUCUUUGUUCCAGGCUCCAACUAUACUGUCUCGCUGAGGCUGGUGGGUGGGGCUAAAGGUGCCUGGGUCCAGCGCCUGAUCCCUAUUUCUGGAUUGGGGAACCCCCUAGACUCCAUCACUUUGAACCAGACCUCUGAUGCCCUUGGCAAUGUCCUGGCUAUUGCCCCUGUUUUCUUGCACACUCCGGUAAGUAGCCUUUCCUCAUGUCAUUUGCUAAAGACUGGUGCCAGUUGCAGGGCCGGCUCUACCAUUGGGCAAGGGCAGGACCUCAGGUGCAGAACCAAAUGCAGCUUUCCAGUACUCCUACUAUGUUACUACCAAGACCUUCCUGGACUAACCCGGAGACAAAUGUCAGGACACGGGUGGCGCUGUGGUCUAAACCACUGAGCCUCUUGGGCUUGCCGAUCAGAAGGUUGGAGGUUCAAAUUCCCGCGACGGGGUGAACUCCUGUUGCUCUGUCCCAGCUCCUGCCAACCUAGCAGUUCGAAAGCACGCCAGUGCAAGUAGAUAAAUAGGUACCUCUGCGGCAGGAAGGUAAACGGCAUUUCCGUGCGCUCUAGUUUCCAUCACAGUGUCUCAGUAGCGGUUUAGUGAUGCUAGUCACAUGACCCAGAAAGCUGUCUGUAGACUAAGGCCGGCUCCCUUAGCCUGAAAGCAAGAUGAGCGCCUCAACCUCAUAGUCGCCUUUGAUUGGACUUAACCAUUCAGGGGUCCUAUACACACACACACAUACAUAUAUAUGAUAAAAAGGUAAAGGGACCCCUGACCGUUAUGUCCAGUCAUGAACGACUCUGGGGUUGUGACGCUCAUCUCGCUUUACUGGCUGAGGGAGCCGGUGUUUGUCCGCAGACAAUUUUUCCGGGUCAUGUGGCCAGCAUGACUAAGCCACUUCUGGCGAACCAGAGCAGCGCACAGAAACGCCGUUUACCUUCCCGCCAGAGUGGUACCUAUUUAUCUACUUGCACUUUGACGUGCUUUCGAACUGCUAGGUUGGCAGGAGCUGGGACAGAACAACGGGAGCUCACCCCGUUGCGGGGAUUCGAACCGCCGAUCUUCUGAGCCCAAGAGGCUCUGUGGUUUAGACCACAGCACCACCUGCGUCCAAUAUAUAUGAUACUACUAGGAAAAGAAAUGGUCGGGUAUGAUGGGAGCUGUAGUCCAAUGACUUCUGGAGGGCCACAGGUUCUCCUGCCCUGCUUUAAAAUAUCUUUAACAAUAAUUCUCUCUCCUCUACCUUCCAGACCACGCUGCUGAGUGUGGAAGGCCUGUCUCCAGAGAAUCUGCCCUUUUCGCGAGUCAGCAGCUACCCCAUCAGCACGGAGUCCGUGCAGAUUCUACCCGUGCCGGACCAAAACAGUGAGUAUGGUAUUCAAAGGCAGACUGCCUCCAACAAUGGAGGCAAAGCAUUAGCUCUCAUGACCAGUAGCAGCCACCUCCAACGGUGAGAUGGUGGUGGUGGUGGUGAUAAUAAUAAGAAUAAUAAGAAUAAUAAUUUAUUAUUUGUACCCCGCUCAUCGGGCUGGGUUUCCCCAGCCACUCUGGGCGGCUUCCAACAAAGAUUAAGAAUCUUCCAACAAAGAUUAAAAUGUCACACAUUAAAAACUUCCCUGAACUUCCCUGGGCUGUCUUCAGAUGUCUUCUAAAAGUCAGAUAGUUGUUUAUUUCCUUGGCUUCUGAUGGAAGGGCAUUCCACAGGGUGGGCGCCACUACCGAGAAGGCCCUCUGCCUGGUUCCCUGUGACCUCACUUCUCGCAGGGAGGGAACCGCCAGAAGGCCCUCAGAGCUGGACCUCAGCGUCCAGGCAGAAAUCCACCCAGCCACUCUGGGCAGCCCCCACAGAAUAUGAAAAACACGAUAAAACUUCAAACAUUAAAAACUUCCCUAAACAGGGCUGCCUUCAGAUGUCUUCUAAAAAUCUGGUGGUUGUUUAUUUCCUUGACAUCUGAAGGGAGGGCAUUCCACAGGGUGGGCGCCACUACCAAGAAGGCCCUCUGCCUGGUUCCCUACGACCUCACUUCUCGCAGGGAGGGAACCGCCAGAAGGCUCUCGGAGCUGGACCUCAGUGUCCGGGCAGAACGAUGGGGGUAGAGACUCUCCUUCCGGGUGCUGAGAGUUGCUAGGUGCCCCCUAUUCCCCCCCCACAUAGCUACAGAAUGGUUUGACAACCAAUGCGUCCUCCCAGGCUGAACGAUGGGGUUGGAGACACUCCUUCUAGUAUACUGGGCCGAGGCCCAGCUGCCAGUACCUGCCCAUGUUCUCCUAUCUAUCCAGGCACAAUGGCACCUGGCGAAAGUCUGGAGGUUUCUGUCAUGGUGGUGAAUGAAGGGACAGCUGCCGCCUUCUCCUUUAAAGUCUGGGACGACUUUGGUUUCCUGGAGAGCUUUACACCGACGGAAAGUUUCCUAAAUUCGGGAGAGAGCGUCGUCCUCAGGGCAACCUUCACGGCGCCUUUGAAGAACAGCAGCUUUACUUCCAGGUAGGACAGCGUUGCUGUAACGGUCUGGAACAGGAGAGGCAGGUUGAAGUGGGACCAUGGACAAGGAGCCAACAUUUGGGAGGUCUAUGGGCAGGAAGCAGUAGUCUCAAGACUAUGGGUAGGCAAACUAAGGCCCAGGGCCAGAUCCGGCCCAAUCGCCUUCUAAAUCCAGCGCACAGACGUCCCAGGAACCAGCGUGUUUUUACAUGAGUAGAAUGUGUCCUUUUAUUUAAAAUGCAUCUCUGGGUUAUUUGUGGGGCAUAGGAAUUUGUUCAUUCCCCCCCCCAAUAUAUAUAUAUAUAGUCCGGCCCCCUACAAGGUCUGAGGGACAGUGGACCGGCCCCCUGCUGAAAAAGUUUGCUGACUCCUACUCAAGAUGGACCAACUUUGAUGGUGUCAGUCUUCAGGGAAUUCUAUCCCUCCCCAGUAGCAGCAAGAAGCAGAGAAAAACAAGGAAGAGUCCUUACAAAUGAGUUUAUUCAGUGAUCACAGCGAGAGACAAAAGAAUGCAGCCUGACUCCCAAUAAUGGCGUUGCUCCAACUGAAUUCCUCCCCGCUUCCUUCCUAGCAACAGCACUUCCCCUUACAGGAGCUGACAGGGGCUAAUUGACUGUGACUCCUUUGCUCUUGCACUCUCAAUGAACGCCAUGAUCUGGGAGAAGGGGGGGUCAGAAACACUCUCCAGUGAUGAUGUGUCAGCUGGCUGCUCUGUCUCUGUCUCUCCCCCCCCCCCCCCGCUUCUCCCAACACCUCCCACCUCCUAACUGUUUGCCUGUGAGCUAUGACCUUCUUCUGAGCUAUGACCUUCCUCAAACCACUGCUGUAAUUUAAUAUGGUGUUACCUUGGUUCUUGAACAGCUUAGUUGUCAAACAAAUCAGCUCCCGAAUGCCACAAACCCGGAAGUAAGUGUUCUGGUUUGCGAACGUUUUUUGGAAGUUGAACAUCCGGUGCGGCUUCCGCUUGAGUGCAGGAAGCCACGCCUUGGUUUUUGAAUGGUUUCAGGAGUCAGACUCCUGGAACGGAUUAAGUUCAAGAACCAAGGUUCCACUGUACUGCCUUUCUCUUCUCUGGAAGCUUCAGGAGAAGGGGGUGGAUCGCCACCAUUCAGUGCCGGAUUUACGUAUAAGCUAAACAAGCUAUAGCUUAGGGCCCCACUCUCUUGGGGGGCCCCCCAAAAAAUUAAAGAAAAAAACUGGAUGUACAUUUACAAAAUAUAAGAUAAAAAACAAAAACAAAACCUACAUACAGCAACACUGUUUUGUGUUGUGUAGGCUCCUAUGACGUAAGGAAUGGGCCCCGCCUGCUGGCCUGCUCCCUAAAAUAUCACUGGUUUGCUCAUUUCUGUAUAUAUGGUGCCUACAUUCUGCAUGGACCAGUUGCAUGGCAACAUGAGCAAAUGGCUUUAGAUACCUGUUAGGUCCAUAAAUUACCAUAUAGCAAUAUAUUCAACACAAAAAACAGUGACACUUUGUUGUUGACAAAGGACAGCUGGACAUAUAAAGGGCCCCAUUACCUUCAGUAGCUUAGGGCCUCAUCAAACCUAAAUCCGGCCCUGCCACCGUUCCUCUUCAAUCUCGUCCCCUUCAGAUAUUCCCUGACAGAUGGGCACAAACAGGUUACAGGUUGCUGUUGUUGGUUUAUGUUUGUGCCACUGUGCAGUGCUUGGAGUCACAAGACUCUGUUUUGCAUACCAGAGAUUCCAGGCUGUUGGAAGUCUCACGGAAGACAGGAGAUGGAUGGGAUGUUACUGGUUUCCUGUUCCUUUGUUUUCCAGUUGCUCUCUGCUUUCACAGAGAGAGCAUGUAUAUUUCUUUUCUGUCUGCGUAGCUAGAAAUAAAGCAUAGCGAUGUAGCUCAUAUUUCUCGUCCUUCCCUGCGUGCUGGAUACUCUGUGUAAUGGGGGAACGUGCUUAGAUCCUCAUCAAAGGCUCAGGUCAUUAAUCACAUCGGAGGACUCAACCGGAAGAGUCGCUCAGUCGAACGCAAGUCCGACAGCUGUAUCCCAAAUCAGACCAUCAGUCCAUCCAGUUCAGUAUUGCUACACUGGCUGGCAGCAGAUCUCCAAGGUUUCUUUUCCAGCCCAACCUGAAGAUGAUUGAGCCUGGGACCUUCUGAAUGCAAAGCAACUGCUCUAUCGCUGAGACACAGCUUUUCCCUCGAUGCACUUUAGGGCCAUAGGAAGCUGCCUCAUACAGCGUCAGGCCAAUGGCCAGUCCAGGUCAAUACUGGCUGCCCUGACCCACGGUGGCUCUCCUGGGUUUCAGGCAGGAAAUAUUCCCAGCCCUGCCAGGAGAUGCCAGGGAUGGGACCACAGGUUUCGCCCAUGCAGAGUGAAUGCUCUGCUGAUGAGCAAUGGCUCUUACCUGGCUAAGGGGGGGUGGGAGCUGGUGCCAAGACUUAUGGAUUCCCUUGGCAAGGAAAGGCCCUCCAGAUGUUUAUGGCUGCAGCCUCCAUUCGCCACAGCCAGCAUGGAGAGUUAUAGUCCAAAAUACCUGGAGGUUGCCAGGUUGUUGAUAGCUAUGCUGAACUACCCCUUCUCAUCUACACUCCUUAAGGUAAAGGUAAAGGGACCCCUGACCAUUAGAUCCAGUCAUGACCGACUCUGGGGUUGCAGCGUUCAUCUCGCUUUAUUGGCUGAGGGAGCCGGCUUACAGCUUCCAGGUCAUGGGGCCAGCAUGACUAAGCCGCUUCUGGCGAACCAGAGCAGCGCACGGAAAUGCUGUUUACCUUCCCGCCGGAGUGGUACCUAUUUAUCUACUUGCACUUUGACGUGCUGUCGAACUGCUAGGUUGGCAGGAGGAGGGACCAAGCAACAGGAGCUCACCCCAUCGAGGGGAUUCGAACCGCCGACCUUCUGAUCGGCAAGUCCUAGGCUCUGUGGUUUAACCCACAGCGCCACUCCUUACCCCCCAAAAAAAUGCACUCUGUUCAUCAUUACCUAAUGUUCUUUCAGCACCGCAACGUUCACAGCUAAAAGCUCAGCAACUCAAAACUACCUGAGACUGCCCAUCACUGUCAUUUCUGAAAAUGAUACGGUGAGUUCUCACUCCACGUUGAUUAUUCACUAAUAUGUGAUAGUCAGUGAAGAAUUGCCUGCUGCCUAAGAAUGUAAAAAUGGAUGAUUUUCUGUUCUGCCCUGCUGUCCUGUCCCCCCACUGCAAUUCAUCUUCCACUGCCCCAAAUUAUGUCAUUUGUCUCUCAGUUUGUUGCGGUGAAAUUAUGUAGCUUACGUAAUUUGCAUAAUUAAUUUUGCAGGUUACGUAAGUUAUGUUGUCGUCCACCCCCAUUCGUUUAUAAUGCAAAGGAAACACAAUCCAAAUUGGGGGGGGGGAGACAUAUAAUCAAUUAUAUAUUUUUUAUGGGCUGAAAGCAACAACAACAGUGAAUACCAAUCUUAUUUGCUGUAUUGAUUUUUGCUCCAGAUAUGGGACAAAUAAGUGAACACCUGCAGUUUCCGCUCCCGUUUCUAUUAUUGUGAGAAUUCUCUUACAUUCCUAAAUGCCUCCCAGUUUGAGAAAUGUUGUUGUCUAGUCGUUUAGUCGUGUCCGACCCUUCGUGACCCCAUGGACCAGAGCACGCCAGGCACUCCUGUCUUCCACUGCCUCCUGCAGUUUGGUCAAACUCACGCUGGUAGCUUCGAGAAAACUCUCCAACCACCUCGUCCUCUGUCGUCCCCUUCUCCUUGUGCCCUCCAUCUUUCCCAACAUCAGGGUCUUUUCCAGGGAGUCUUCUCUUCUCAUGAGGUGGCCAAAGUAUUAGAGCCUCAGCUUCAGGAUCUGUCCUUCCAGUGAGCACUCAGGGCUGAUUUCCUUCAGAAUGGAUAGGUUUGAUCUUCUUGCAGUCCAUGGGACUCUCAAGAGUCUCCUCCAGCACCGUAAUUCAAAAGCAUCAAUUCUUUUGCGAUCAGCCCUCUUUAAUCCGUGUGUGUGUGUGUUUUUAAUAAAAAUCUGCAUGCAAAUUUGUAUUUAAACAUACACACACACACAUGCAUAUAUAAACAUAUAUAUAUUCAUGUAUUUAAAUAAUGUUUAAAUACAAAUUUGCAUGCAGAUUGGUUUUUGAAAACACACACACAUUAAUGUGAAAAUGGGACUUAUGAAUCAUAGAAUCAUAGAGAAACUGACAUAGACAAGCUAUAGACUGAUUGAUCCAUCUGCCAUUCAAGGGUUGCCAACAUGGUGCCCUCCAGACUAUAAUUCUCAUCAGCCUCAAUCAGCGUGGCCAAUAGUCAGGAGUUGUGUGUAUUGUAGUCCAAAAUGUCUGGAGAGCACCGUGUUGGCUACCCGAGUCCUAGCAGAAAGUGGUCUUUACCGAUGGCUACUCUUGGUUCUUCCUAACCAACCUGUGCUCCAUCCAAACAGAAAACUGAUGAGAUCCCACCAAACUACGCGCUUCUAGACCUUUACAUGCCUUGUGUCAGCAAAUUCCAGCACAAGCCUACCUGCUCUCGGCACAUUUGGAAAAUGAGGUUCUCUGCAAUGGAUAAUCACAGCGCUGUCACCGUCCAAAUCAGUGCAAAUCCUUCUGGUCUAUCCUGCAGCCCACGGGGGACUGAUGGCAGCAAGGAAGUCAUGUGUCACUAUCAGUAUGUAUAUCCAGUUUCUAGAAAUCUGAUGGCAUGGUGCAGAAAAUGACGACUGAUCAUGGAGCUCCACAGCAGAGGCUGAUUCCUGUUUACCUCUGCUUGCUUUUUUUUUAAAUUUGCAUUUUGUUUAUUUGUUAACAUUCUUAUAUUACAUUGGUAAACGUUGUCAUAUUAUAUUACAUGACUUACUAUAAUUUCCAAUAUGUAUACAAAAAUUAUAUACAAAUUUUAUAUACCUAGAAAGAAAAUGAAACACAAAAAAGAACAAAGAGAAAAAACAAAAACAAUUCCCCCCCAAAAUCAUAUACAUACCAACACACUAGACUUCCUGUCUAUCCCGUUGUAUAUUCCUUUUUUACAAAUGAAUGUACUCUUAUUAUUGUAUAUUUCUUUACAUUUUAUCUAAUACAUUCCUAUAUCAAUAUGUGCUCUUAGUCUUAUAUCUCAACUCAGUCUCGCUCCAACGUCAAUCAAAUGCUAGCAUAGAUAGCGAACCUUUACUGUAUUUUUGAACAUAUGUUUUAUAUCUAUCCCACUUUUCCAUAAUUUUUUGUUUUGAAUUGCCUCUCAGGGUAUUUGUUAACUGCGCCAUUUCAGCAAAUUCUUGUAGCUUGUUUUGCCAAUCCGUUAUUGUCGGGGCUUCUUGUUCCUUCCGCCCCUUUGCCACCCAAGUCCGAGCUGCAGCCGUUGCAUAUAAGAAUACCUCCCUAAAGGCCUUCGGGAUGUCCCUGCCAAUAAUGCUUGCUUUCUUUUUAACUAAUGUUAACAAUAUUUCCCCAUUGUUGUAUAUAGGGUGGGGUUUUUUGCAUAUCAUGAGACCAUGACCUCUGAAUCACAUGCCCAUCAGAGCUUCCCUUCCUCUCAUCUUUGGUUUAUCGGCCUUGGGUCUUCUUUUGUAGGUCGAACUGCUGUUCUCCUUAUGCAGAAUUCCUGAUCAGCGAUGAAAACGGGAACACAAACACUUUUACUGUAGACUACAGACGGCCCCGUCCUGCCUCCGCCUCAUAAACCUACAACAGGUAUAACACGCAGUAGCAGUAGCUCUCCAAUGUUUGGGGCAAUGUUCCCUUCCUGUAACUGUAGGGAUAGGGGACAAACCCAGCUCAGUUUGCAUUUAAAGGCUUUCCUUUAAAUUCACACUUUCUGAAACAAUGCACACAAAACUGAAACACAGCGUUGAAUUUUGUGACGCAGUUCUCCAAACAAAAAAUGUUGGCAGAAAUGCAUGUAUUACAGUGGUACCUCAGGUUACAAAUGCUUCAGGUUACAGACUCCGCUAACCCGGAAAUAGUACCUCAGGUUAAGAACUUUACCUCAGGAUGAGAACAGAAAUCGCGCGCUGACAGCACGGCGGCAGCGGGAGGCCCCAUUAGCUAAAGUGGUACCUCAGGUUAAGAACAGUUUCAGGUUAGGAAUGGACCUCCAGAACGAAUUAAGUUCUUAACCAGAGGUACCACUGUAUUAGGGGAAAGUGUAUGGGGAAAGGAUACAUGCAAAACAUUCAAAAAUACAUUUUAUUAGGGGGAACUCUAUAUAGUGUAAAAACCGCACACAAACAUGCGCAUUGUUAAAUAGUGGGAAAGAUGGACGAAGGACACAGCUCUGUUAGAUUCACAGCUCUUUAUUACAGCAGUUAGAAUUGCUCCUGUAGAUAGACUCAGUGCAGCCUAGCUGGCUGCUUUAUAUAAUACUAAGUAACUUGUAACAGUAGGGACGCAGUUGGCGCUGUGGGUUAAACUACAGAGCCUAGGACUUGCCGAUCAGAAGGUCAGCGGUUCGAAUCCCCACGACGGGGUGAGCUCCUGUUGCUCGGUCCCUGCUCCUGCCAACCUAGCAGUUCGAAAGCACAUCAAAGUGCAAGUAGAUCAAUAGGUACCGCUCCGGCGGGAAGGUAAACGGCGUUUCCGUGCGCUGCUCUGGUUCGCCAGAAGCGGCUUAGUCAUGCUGGCCACAUGACCCAGAAGCUGUACGCCGGCUCCCUAGGCCAAUAAUGCGAGAUGAGCGCCGCAACCCCAGAGUCAGUCAUGACUGGACCUAAUGGUCAGGGGUCCCUUUACCUUUAACUUGUAACAGUAACAACUCCCAACUAGCUAACCAAUCAGAGAGCGACAGUUCUCAAUCCUUUAUUUGCAUACUGGCGAUUGUGCUAAACUAGGACAUGGGAAACUAGGGUUCAAAUCCCUUUAUAUAAAUAUAACAAUAUUUUUUUAAAAAAUCAUUAAAAGGAGUUAGUGAGGGAAUAACUCCAAACGCGUAAGGAGUUAGCAGAGGAACAGGAGAGUUGCUAUCUUUUUCUCUCGACAGAAGCUCUGUGCCCAGCUGUCUGGCAGAAAUUCAACAGAAGCAGCUUCUCCCAUUGCUGCUUCUCUAGGUCAGAGUUCAAGCUGGACCUGCUGAACAUCUGCCUUGAACUACGGAAGAAGCAAAGGGGCACCCCUAAAGUCCUCCCUGGGUCUGGGGAUUCGAGAGAGGGAGGACAUUGACAGAUACCUGGUGCUUUUUAUGCAGAACCUUUUCUUUUCUCUUUCUCUCUCCUAACAGCUGAACUGCAUUAUAUGACGAUCACAAAAGGCAAUAAGCUUUGGAGAGUCACAUUUCUGGUUUCGUGGUGCCAUUUGAAUCGGGAAGGAGAUACUAUCCAGAUGUUAAACUGCCAAGUGGUGAUCCAGCCACAUUGGCAGCCUCCAUUACACCCACAGCCAAAUAAAACAAACUUCAGAAAGCA